This is an RNA transcript of Orcinus orca (killer whale), 11134 nucleotides long. It is a transcript of the gene named inositol 1,4,5-trisphosphate receptor type 2, with no coding region annotated. NCBI's taxonomy places the organism in Eukaryota, Metazoa, Chordata, Mammalia, Artiodactyla, Delphinidae. The record is from RefSeq and is a predicted model, not a curated record. The transcript is spliced from 58 exons.
GAGGGCGCAGAGAAGAGGAGGGACGUAUUCUUCGGAGCAUGAAGCAGCAUGUCCGAUAAAAUGUCCAGCUUCCUCUACAUAGGGGACAUCGUGUCCCUGUACGCGGAGGGCUCGGUCAACGGUUUCAUCAACACGCUGGGGCUAGUGGAUGACAGAUGUGUGGUGCACCCAGAGGCGGGGGACCUCGCCAACCCUCCCAAGAAGUUCCGAGACUGCCUCUUUAAGGUGUGUCCUAUGAACCGAUAUUCUGCUCAGAAACAAUAUUGGAAAGCCAAGCAAGUUAAACAAGGGAACCACACAGAGGCAGCCUUGCUGAAGAAAUUACAGCAUGCUGCAGAACUGGAACAAAAACAAAAUGAAUCAGAGAAUAAGAAGCUGUUGGGAGAAAUUGUGAAAUAUAGUAAUGUUAUACAACUACUGCAUAUAAAAAGCAACAAGUAUCUGACUGUCAACAAGAGAUUACCCGCUUUACUGGAGAAGAAUGCCAUGCGCGUGUCCUUGGAUGCUGCAGGAAAUGAAGGGUCUUGGUUUUAUAUUCAUCCCUUCUGGAAGCUGAGAAGCGAGGGUGACAAUAUUGUUGUUGGAGAUAAAGUUGUUUUGAUGCCCGUGAAUGCAGGACAGCCGCUACAUGCCAGCAACAUAGAGCUUCUCGAUAAUCCAGGGUGUAAAGAGGUGAAUGCUGUUAAUUGCAACACUAGCUGGAAAAUCACUCUAUUCAUGAAAUAUAGUUCCUAUCGAGAGGAUGUACUAAAAGGGGGUGAUGUUGUUCGAUUGUUUCAUGCGGAACAAGAGAAGUUUCUGACUUGUGAUGAAUAUGAGAAAAAACAGCACAUUUUCCUUCGUACAACUUUGCGUCAAUCAGCCACUUCUGCUACCAGUUCGAAAGCACUCUGGGAAAUAGAGGUAGUUCAUCAUGACCCAUGCCGUGGAGGUGCAGGACAAUGGAAUAGCUUGUUCAGGUUUAAACAUCUUGCAACCGGGAACUAUUUAGCUGCAGAGCUUAACCCUGAUUAUCGAGAUGCCCAAAAUGAAGGAAAAAAUGUGAGAGAUGGAGAUCUUCCAACUGCAAAGAAGAAACGCCAGGCAGAGGAGAAGAUCAUGUACACUUUGGUCUCAGUCCCACAUGGAAAUGACAUUGCAUCCCUUUUUGAACUGGAUGCCACAACUCUUCAGAGAGCGGACUGCCUGGUCCCAAGGAAUUCGUACGUUCGGUUAAGACAUUUAUGUACAAACACGUGGGUAACCAGCACUAGCAUCCCCAUAGACACAGAUGAAGAGAGGCCUGUUAUGUUGAAGAUCGGAACUUGCCAAACAAAAGAAGAUAAAGAAGCUUUUGCCAUUGUGUCUGUCCCGCUGUCUGAGGUCCGAGACUUAGACUUCGCCAAUGACGCAAAUAAAGUGCUGGCGACCACAGUUAAAAAGCUGGAAAAUGGCACAAUAACUCAGAAUGAAAGGAGGUUUGUGACCAAAUUAUUGGAAGACCUUAUCUUCUUUGUUGCUGAUGUACCUAACAAUGGACAAGACGUUCUGGAUGUGGUAAUCACCAAGCCAAACCGAGAACGUCAGAAAUUAAUGAGGGAACAAAACAUAUUGGCACAGGUAUUUGGGAUUCUGAAAGCACCCUUUAAGGAGAAAGCCGGAGAAGGCUCAAUGCUGAGACUUGAAGAUCUGGGGGAUCAAAGAUAUGCCCCCUACAAGUACAUGCUGAGGCUGUGCUACCGUGUGCUGAGACAUUCACAGCAGGACUACCGGAAAAAUCAGGAAUAUAUUGCUAAGAAUUUCUGUGUCAUGCAAUCCCAGAUUGGCUAUGAUAUUUUGGCAGAAGAUACCAUCACAGCUUUGUUGCACAACAACAGAAAACUACUAGAGAAACACAUCACAGCAAAAGAAAUAGAAACAUUUGUUAGUUUACUCAGGAGAAAUCGGGAGCCAAGGUUUUUGGAUUAUUUAUCAGAUCUCUGUGUGUCUAAUACCACGGCUAUACCUGUAACUCAAGAACUCAUCUGCAAAUUUAUGCUGAGCCCAGGCAAUGCAGAUAUUCUCAUUCAAACUAAGCUGGUCUCAAUGCAAGGAGACAACCCCAUGGAGAGCGCCAUCCUUUCAGAUGACAUUGAUGAGGAAGAAGUUUGGCUCUACUGGAUUGACAGCAACAAGGAACCUCACGGCAAAGCUAUCAGGCACCUUGCUCAGGAAGCCAAAGAAGGCACCAAGGCUGAUUUAGAAGUUCUUACCUACUACAGGUACCAGCUAAAUCUCUUUGCAAGGAUGUGCUUGGAUCGCCAGUAUCUGGCCAUAAACCAGAUUUCUACGCAGCUCUCUGUUGAUUUGAUCCUGCGGUGUAUGUCAGAUGAGAGCCUGCCCUUUGACCUCCGAGCAUCUUUUUGUCGCCUUAUGCUGCACAUGCAUGUUGACCGGGAUCCCCAGGAGUCUGUGGUGCCUGUUCGCUAUGCCAGGCUCUGGACAGAAAUCCCCACAAAGAUCACGAUUCAUGAAUAUGAUUCUAUAACAGACUCUUCCAGAAAUGAUAUGAAGAGGAAAUUUGCACUGACAAUGGAGUUUGUUGAAGAAUACUUGAAAGAGGUUGUAAAUCAGCCUUUUCCUUUUGGAGAUAAAGAAAAAAACAAACUGACAUUUGAGGUGGUCCACUUGGCUCGGAAUCUUAUAUACUUUGGAUUUUAUAGUUUCAGUGAAUUAUUAAGGCUAACAAGAACACUUCUGGCUAUCCUUGACAUCGUUCAGGCCCCCAUGUCAUCGUAUUUUGAAAGAUUAAGCAAAUUUCAAGAUGGAGGAAACAAUGUCAUGAGAACCAUCCAUGGGGUGGGAGAAUUGAUGACCCAGAUGGUGCUCAGCAGAGGUUCCAUCUUCCCCAUGAGUGUGCCUGACAUCCAGCCCAGCCUGCAUCCCAGCAAGCAGGGGAGCCCCGCCGAGCACGAGGAUGUCACUGUCAUGGACACCAAGCUGAAGAUUAUUGAGAUUUUACAGUUUAUCCUGAGUGUCAGACUGGAUUAUAGGAUCUCAUAUAUGCUGUCAAUAUAUAAGAAGGAAUUUGGGGAGAACAAUGGAAAUGCUGAAACGUCUACCAAUGGCUCUCCCGAUACAUUGCUGCCAUCAGCUGUUGUUCCUGACAUAGAUGAAAUUGCAGCUCAGGCAGAAACUAUGUUUGCUGGAAGAAAGGAAAAAAAUCCAGUUCAACUUGAUGAUGAAGGAGGCAGGACAUUUUUACGGGUCCUCAUUCAUCUGAUCAUGCAUGACUACCCUCCUUUGCUAUCAGGAGCCCUGCAGCUGCUGUUCAAGCACUUCAGCCAGAGAGCGGAAGUUUUACAGGCAUUUAAACAGGUACAGUUACUGGUGUCCAAUCAGGACGUAGAUAACUACAAGCAAAUCAAGGCAGACCUAGACCAGCUUCGACUAACUGUAGAAAAAUCCGAGUUAUGGGUUGAGAAGAGCAGCAGCUAUGAGAAUGGAGAAAUGGGUGAAAAUCAAGUAAAAGGUGGUGAAGAGCCAAUUGAGGACUCAAACAUUUUAAGUCCAGUGCAAGAUGGAACAAAGAAACCUCAGAUUGACAGCAAUAAGAGCAACAACUACCGGAUUGUAAAGGAGAUUUUGAUUAGGCUAAGUAAACUCUGUAUACAGAAUAAAAAGUGUCGGAAUCAACAUCAACGAUUACUGAAAAAUAUGGGAGCCCAUUCAGUGGUGUUAGACCUGCUGCAGAUACCCUAUGAAAAGAAUGAUGAAAAGAUGAAUGAAGUAAUGAAUCUGGCCCAUACAUUCCUGCAGAAUUUCUGUCGGGGAAAUCCACAGAAUCAAGUUCUCCUCCAUAAACAUCUGAAUUUGUUCUUAACCCCUGGUCUCCUUGAAGCAGAAACCAUGCGGCACAUCUUCAUGAACAAUUAUCAUCUGUGCAAUGAAAUUAGCGAGAGGGUUAUCCAGCACUUCGUGCACUGCAUUGAGACACACGGCCGCCACGUGGAGUACCUGAGGUUUCUGCAGACGAUUGUCAAAGCAGAUGGUAAAUAUGUGAAGAAAUGCCAGGAUAUGGUGAUGACCGAGUUGAUAAAUGGGGGUGAAGAUGUGCUGGUAUUUUACAAUGAUAGAGCAUCAUUUCCCAUCCUUCUCCAUAUGAUGUGUUCAGAGAGGGACCGAGGGGACGAGAGUGGCCCCUUAGCCUACCACAUCACCCUUGUGGAGUUGCUGGCAGCAUGCACAGAGGGGAAAAAUGUCUACACUGAAAUCAAGUGCAAUUCCCUUCUGCCCCUGGACGACAUAGUGAGGGUGGUGACCCAUGACGACUGCAUCCCUGAGGUUAAAAUUGCUUAUGUGAAUUUUGUUAAUCACUGUUACGUUGACACUGAAGUGGAAAUGAAGGAAAUCUACACAAGUAACCACAUUUGGAAAUUAUUUGAGAGCUUCUUGGUGGAUAUGGCAAGGGUUUGCAACACAACUACAGACAGGAAACACGCAGACACCUUUUUGGAGAAGUGUGUUACUGAGUCAAUCAUGAACGUUGUGAGCGGCUUUUUUAAUUCUCCCUUUUCAGACAACAGUACCAGCCUGCAGACACAUCAGCCCGUUUUUAUUCAGCUGCUUCAGUCUGCCUUCAGAAUUUACAAUUGCACCUGGCCAAAUCCAGCACAGAAAGCCUCGGUGGAGUCCUGUAUCAGAACUUUGGCUGAAGUGGCAAAGAAUCGUGGAAUUGCCAUUCCAGUGGAUUUGGACGGCCAAGUUAAUACUCUUUUUAUGAAGAGUCACUCCAAUAUGGUGCAGAGAGCAGCCAUGGGUUGGAGACUAUCAGCUCGCUCUGGACCACGCUUUAAGGAAGCUCUUGGAGGGCCUUCUUGGGAUUAUAGAAAUAUUAUUGAAAAGUUACAGGAUGUAGUGGCGUCCUUGGAGCAACAGUUCAGCCCGAUGAUGCAGGCUGAAUUCUCUGUGUUGGUUGAUGUGCUGUACAGUCCAGAGCUACUGUUUCCUGAGGGGAGCGAUGCAAGAAUAAGAUGCGGUGCUUUCAUGUCCAAGUUGAUCAAUCAUACAAAGAAACUGAUGGAGAAAGAAGAAAAAUUGUGCAUUAAAAUUCUUCAAACUUUACGAGAAAUGCUAGAGAAGAAAGACAGCUUUGUGGAAGAGGGUACUACAUUAAGAAAAAUACUCCUGAAUCGGUACUUUAGAGGCGAUUAUGGUGUCUGUAUGAACGGACACCUCUCUGGAGCCUACUGCAAAUCUGCACAAGGAGGAGGAAGCUUUUCUGGACAAGAUUCAGAUAAGAUGGGGAUAUCCAUGUCAGAUAUUCAGUGUCUACUGGAUAAAGAAGGUGCAUCUGAACUUGUCAUCGAUGUUAUAGUGAGCACCAAAAAUGACAGAAUUUUUUCGGAAGGCAUUUUACUUGGCAUUGCCUUGCUUGAAGGAGGAAAUACACAAACUCAGUAUUCCUUCUACCAGCAGUUGCAUGAACAAAAAAAGUCAGAAAAAUUCUUCAAAGUUCUCUAUGACCGAAUGAAGGCUGCUCAGAAAGAGAUAAGAUCAACAGUGACAGUUAAUACCAUAGACUUAGGUAACAAAAAAAGGGAUGAUGACAACGAAUUGAUGACAUCUGGCCCACGAAUGAGAGUAAGAGAUUCAUCACUACAUUUAAAAGAGGGAAUGAAAGGGCAAUUAACAGAAGCUUCUUCGGCAACCUCCAAAGCAUACUGUGCGUACAGAAGAGAAAUGGAUCCAGAAAUAGACAUCAUUUGCACAGGAUCAGAAGCGGGAAAUGCUGAGGAAAAGUCUGCGGAGGAAGUAACAAUGAGUCCUGCCAUUGCCAUCAUGCAGCCGAUUCUGAGAUUUCUUCAGUUACUCUGUGAGAAUCACAACCGGGAACUGCAGAAUUUCUUGAGGAAUCAAAACAACAAAACAAAUUACAACCUUGUCUGUGAGACCCUUCAGUUUUUGGACUGCAUUUGUGGAAGUACGACGGGUGGCCUGGGCCUCUUGGGUCUCUACAUCAAUGAGAAGAAUGUAGUGCUGGUCAACCAGACUCUGGAGAGCUUGACUGAGUAUUGCCAGGGCCCGUGCCAUGAAAAUCAGACAUGUAUUGCUACUCAUGAAUCUAAUGGGAUUGAUAUCAUCAUUGCUUUGAUUCUAAAUGACAUAAACCCUCUUGGUAAAUAUCGAAUGGACCUGGUGCUCCAACUAAAGAACAAUGCCUCCAAGCUUUUGCUGGCCAUCAUGGAAAGUAGACAUGACAGUGAGAAUGCAGAAAGAAUUCUAUUUAACAUGAGACCCAGAGAACUGGUGGAUGUGGUGAAGAAUGCCUAUAACCAAGGAUUGGAAUGCGAUCAUGGGGAUGAUGAGGGCGGAGAUGAUGGUGUUUCCCCAAAAGAUGUUGGACACAAUAUCUAUAUUCUGGCCCAUCAGUUGGCACGCCACAACAAACUCCUGCAGCAGAUGCUCAAACCAGGAUCCGAUCCAGAUGACGGAGAUGAAGCCUUAAAGUAUUAUGCCAACCACACUGCACAGAUCGAGAUUGUUCGGCAUGAUAGGACAAUGGAACAAAUAGUGUUUCCUGUCCCCAAUAUAUGUGAAUACCUCACGCGAGAAUCCAAGUUCCGGGUGUUCAAUACCACGGAAAGGGAUGAACAAGGAAGUAAAGUGAAUGACUUUUUCCAGCAAACGGAAGAUCUCUACAAUGAGAUGAAGUGGCAGAAGAAAAUCAGGAGUAAUCCUGCCCUGUUCUGGUUCUCAAGGCACAUUUCUCUCUGGGGGAGCAUCUCCUUCAACCUGGCUGUGUUCAUCAACUUAGCUGUGGCUCUCUUCUACCCAUUUGGGGAUGAUGGAGAUGAAGGUACACUUUCACCAUUGUUCUCGGUUCUGCUUUGGAUAGCAGUUGCAGUCUGCACAUCUAUGCUGUUUUUCUUCUCCAAGCCUGUGGGUAUUCGGCCAUUUCUUGUGUCAGUAAUGCUCAGAUCAAUAUAUACAAUAGGUCUUGGACCUACGUUAAUACUUCUUGGUGCAGCUAAUCUUUGUAAUAAAAUCGUAUUUCUGGUGAGUUUUGUCGGAAAUCGUGGCACGUUCACCCGAGGGUACCGAGCGGUCAUCCUGGAUAUGGCCUUUCUCUACCAUGUAGCGUAUGUCCUGGUUUGCAUGCUGGGCCUCUUUGUUCACGAAUUCUUCUAUAGCUUCCUGCUUUUUGAUUUAGUAUAUAGAGAAGAGACUCUGCUCAAUGUCAUAAAAAGCGUCACACGGAAUGGCCGCUCCAUUAUUCUAACUGCAGUCCUCGCCCUCAUCCUUGUCUACCUGUUUUCCAUUAUUGGAUUCCUUUUUCUGAAGGAUGACUUCACUAUGGAGGUGGAUAGGCUGAAAAACAGAACUCCCCUUACAGGUAGCAAUGCAGUUUCUGCUAUGACUUUAACUUCAAUCCUGGGAACAUGUGAAAAGGACAACUGCUCACCCACAAUACCGGCUUCAAAUACAGCUGCUGAGGAAUAUGAAGAUGGAAUUGAAAGAACGUGUGACACCCUCCUUAUGUGCAUUGUGACUGUCCUGAACCAGGGCCUCAGGAACGGCGGCGGCGUGGGAGAUGUGCUGAGAAGACCCUCAAAAGAAGAGCCCUUGUUUGCUGCCCGAGUGGUGUAUGACCUUCUUUUUUAUUUCAUUGUCAUCAUUAUCGUUCUUAACUUGAUUUUUGGGGUUAUCAUUGAUACUUUUGCGGAUCUCAGAAGUGAAAAACAGAAAAAAGAAGAAAUUCUAAAGACAACCUGCUUCAUCUGUGGACUCGAGAGGGACAAGUUUGAUAAUAAAACGGUUUCUUUUGAGGAGCACAUCAAGUCAGAACACAAUAUGUGGCAUUAUUUGUACUUCCUAGUCCUGGUGAAGGUGAAAGACCCGACUGAAUACACCGGACCUGAAAGUUACGUGGCUCAAAUGAUUGUGAACUCUCUCCAGAACCAGGACAGGAGGGAGGAGAGCCCACAAGCUUAUUGCAACAUGAACUGUCUCAUUCUCAUCCAAGCAGUGCACACCCAAGAGAACAGGCACUGGUCCUGGAUUUUAAUGGGCAGGAGAAGAAAGAGAGAUAUUAAGCUUUGGAAGGAUGGAAACAAAAAGUCACUUGCCGGAGAAGAAUUUGGACUGGUUUCCUCGGAUGCGAGCUAUGUCCCUUGUUAGCAAUGAAGGUGACAGUGAACAAAAUGAGAUUCGGAACCUGCAGGAGAAGUUGGAAUCGACCAUGAGUCUGGUCAGACAGCUGUCGGGUCAGCUGGCGGAGCUCAAGGAGCAGAUGACAGAACAAAGGAAGAAUAAGCAGAGACUGGGCUUUCUCGGAUCAAACACACCCCAUGUGAAUCAUCACAUGCCACCGCACUGAUACCAUGGGGGCAGCCGUGACUAGCCUUUCAUCAGUGUACUGCCUGAUCACUGAAUAAAGAACUGAGAUGGAGGGGAGUGAACAGUGCCUAUUGUUGAAAAGUUAAAAACAACCAAGUGCCAAGAUGUUGAGUGGUUUAGCUCCGAGAACAAUUUCUAACUGUGUUUUCAUGGUUGAGAAGACCAAACUUAAAAUGCAGCCACUAAAAAGCACACAUCACGCAUUCUUAAUGCAAAGAGAGGUCCCUUGCUCAAAUGGACGGAGAAGGUAGGGGGAGGCGGAGUGGAAGGAGAUGCAGGGCGGAGAGAGCUACCUUUGGCUGAUCUGUAAGAGUCCAUUUUGUCUUAAAUGCUGACUGCAACCUUUGUCAUGGUUGGUUGGAAUUUCUUUCUUUUAAUGAUGGCAUAUGGGUCAGUGAUACAGGAAGUCAUUUUGGUGGCUAAGUUUUACUAAGGGAAAUAACUGAAAAGAUUAAAAAUGAGAGUUGCAAACAAAAAUGUUAAUGCUUCCAAACCGUAGCUGUCACAGGCCAAUUUCCUUAUUUAUAACCUGCAACACAAUGGAUUUACAGCUCUAGGAACUAGAGCUUUGGAGCUUAUGCCCCUCGGGCUGACAAUGCGACUGGAAUGUGAUUUCCUUCUCCCAGAUUCAGAGGGGCUCUGUCAAUAUGGAGUACAAAAAGAGGUUUUCAUAAAACUUGUUUAAAAACAUGCUUAAAGUCAUGUAGAAGCUAAGAUUUUUAAAAGAUUUGGGGACAAAAAAGAUGACAGUAAGCCCCAAGGACAUAUGUAUGCUAUUAAAAUACAUUGAGAUUAAUAAAUGAACAUGCUUAAAGGCGACAGGAAAUAUUGAGAAACAUGAUGGUGGCAUUGCCUUUUAUAGAUAUGGAGUAAAAGCUAUUUGAUUCAUGUUUGCUGUGCUUAAGAACUGAGUGGUUUUAUUUAUCCUCUUCUUGCAGUUAGGAAAAAAAUCCAAGAAACAUUGAAUACUCAAGAAAAUGCAGAGUUUCAAUCGCGUAUUUUAAACUGUAUCAGGAAGAGCUUUUCAAAAUGUAAAGAGAUAAUAAUCUCUUCCUCAAAUUGUUUGUAUGUUAAAUUAUGCAACCAGAAUUUGUGGAGGGAGAAAUUAACCUGCCAUGCUUAUUAUUCUUAGCGAUUAUGCUUUUAGAAUGUUAAGACAAAAUUCAGAUCAUGAAAGUGUUAGGAGAACUGCCACGUGGCAAGAGAGCAGGCACAUGACACCAGACUCUUGGAGGUGCUCUGCAAGCUGACCUUUCCUAGUCACUGCCCCCAAAAGAACAAAAAAUUGCAUUUUUGAACUCUCAUGUUAUCACCACCAAGGUUUAAGUUCAGGACAGCGUUUGCUGUGACCAUUUUUAAAGCUUUUGGAUUAUUUUAAUAUAGUUUAAGCUAUUGGCUCCUAAAAUUCUCAAAUCAUGGUCUGGGUAGAUGAUAAAGGAUGCCUGAACCAAUCCUUUUUCCACACACCCCAUUAAAAUGUAGACUUGGAGGAAAGCUGUUGAAACCCAGAGCAAUGAAUUUUUGAACUGAAUCUGCUGGUACACCUCCCCCGCUCCUCCAAAUCCCUCCCCAAGUUAAGAAUUCCUUACUCUGAUCUGGUAGUAUUUUUCCUAACCAGUUGCUGAAGGAUCAUGAUUCAAAGAUACUCAGAAACUGGGAUAUAUAUCUGUAUGCAACACAGAACUUUGAACCUAGAAGGCAUUCUGUAAAUGUAUGAGAAAUUCCAGUGUCAUUCGAUCCUAAUGCUUCAUUGAAACUUUAUAUCAUAUAUUUGAUUUUUAAAAAUGGCUUCACCAAAACUGAAGUAGACCAAAGCAGCCAUUUUUUUAAAAAUCCAAGACCAUUAUUGUUAUUAACAGUAUUAGAUGAAAAGUACCUUUCAAAGUAUUUUAAUUAGGCAGAGAGUUUCAUGGGUAGGGAAAAGAAGAGAAAGGUGGAAAACAUUGGCUAUGUUCCAAUGUCAGAACUUAUCCCUGUUUAACACAAAGUAAAAUUUUUCUGAUGGAUGUUCUAGCAUCAAGAAAAUAAGUUAAUUUGUACAGAUGAGAGCAACCUGCCUUUCAGAUGAACCAUCUAGUCUUUCCUUACACUUUUUUAUAGAGAAUGAGCCAUUGGGUAUGUACUGCCAUCAAGAAAUGGCUUCACCUCUCCAACCAUUGUGGAGUGGCAGGUCACCGUGUCACAGUGUGUUUUCUCCUAUGAGAAGUAUUCAAAAGCAAUUACAACUAACCAGACUCUUAUUUAGUCAAAAUUGAAAUAUUUCUCAGUUCUGUUUCUCUCUUUCCUGCCUAAAUACUUUAAGACUAUAAAGCAAAAUAAACAAAAGCAAACAAAAAAAGGCAGUUUCAAGGCUAUGAAAUUCAUGAUGGAGGAGAUAAUCACGGGGAAAUUUGACAUUCGCUAUAAAUUUAUGUUUGUUUUGUAUAUGUUUGUUAAUGCAACUGGAAUAUUGACCUAGGCAAGUAUCAAUUAACAUUCUCAUAUUUAUAUAGCAAUAUUAAAAUAAAUAUAAUCAUCUUUGAUCUUGUUGUUAAGGAAAAUGGUUUACUAUUUAGUUAUUAAAACCCAUAUUGGUUUAAAAGUAUGUUUCCGCUGAACAUAAUUUUUAAUUUCAAAAGGAUUUUAUUCCCCUACAUGUUCCAUUCUGAGGUCCAAGAGUUUCAUGCAAGUAUGUUUUAAGAUUAUAAUAUUAAAAAAUAUUGUAAAGCAAUUAUACUCCAAUAAAGAUGUUAAAAAAACCAAAAUAAAUAAAUAAAUAAAUUUUAUACUUGUAAAA